Molecule: long non-coding RNA, 5054 nt
Organism: Gopherus evgoodei (Goodes thornscrub tortoise)
Lineage: Eukaryota; Metazoa; Chordata; Testudines; Testudinidae
Exons: 3
Source: RefSeq, a predicted model, not a curated record
UAAAGGAUUAUAGCAUCUAAUAAGAAACCAGUAAAAGACUGUACAGGCUGAAGAUUAAUGUUCCUGAAUAAGGACUAAUCAUUUUGGUUUGGACUAAAUCUAGUUGAUAUAAGAAUGUUUGGAAGAAAAGCUAUUCCAGUAUAUUUUGGUCUAAUGGAAGAGGUGUUAUGGAAUUGCCAAAUGAACUCUGCACUUCAUUGCUAUGUAGAUUUCUUAACUAACAGAACAUGUUUUAGCAUGUUUAGAGUCAGACAUUGCCUGAUUUAGUCAGUUUGACAAUGAGGUGAUGAGUUUAGCACAAUAAGAAUUCAAGAACUCAUUUUAUUUUAUGGUUACACAAUAAUUGAUUUGUGGUUAUGUUUGUGUUGCUGCCAAUUGCAUUUUAAUAUCACUCAAAAUGUAUAAAAUCAAUAUCGAAAUGGCCCUUCGUAGUUAAUAAGCACUUACACAGAGUCUAGAGGUGAAAGCUUGGCUCUGUUGAUGUCAACUGCAAAAGGUCCAUUGACUGCAAUGGCACCAAGUUUCACCCUGGAUACAUUCGGGCAGGUUAUCAUAACAGUGCCUGCUUCUUUUUGUUUUUGCUUACUUGUUCGAGCUACUUCCUUCUAGACAUGAGUUCUGCUGCAAUGUGAGCAUUUGCAAUUACCAGUAGUAUACCAAGGUCUAGGCGCAGUGCUUCCUUCUUGAUACUACAAUUACCAAGAACCAUUUUGUGAGUAGCAAAGAGUCCUGUGGCACCUUAUAGACUAACAAAUGUAUUGGAGCAUGAGCUUUCGUGGGUGAAUACCCACUUCGUUGGAUGCAUGCAUAUUUUGUGAGUAGUUAGUAGGAGGUGAACAUUCAUGUCUACAUUGUCCAUUUUUUUGAAAGCUGCCUGGAUACGUAUGGCAUCCCAGAAACUUGGUUGGAUAGAAGGGCACAGCUUCUUCAGGAAGAACAGGCAGAGAAAAAAGCAUGGAUGUGUUGCCUUGUAUAUCAAAGAUGAUAGUAGGACCUGUUGAAAGUCUCUGGCAACACAAGGAGAAUGAAGUGAAUACAUUGGAAGUGUAUGAGCUCAGUGAGAGAAGAAAUGCUCAGCAUCAGUUUAUGAACAGUGAAUAUACUUCAGCAAAAGAGCAGGUGGUAUUAUCGGACCCCAAGGCAAAGGACUGACUGGCAAUCCUUAUGUUGCAUUGAUGAGUAUGUUCAUUCCAUUCAACCCUGGACCAGAAGAGGCAGAAACAAUUUUUUUUACAAAAAUUAAAACUUAGAAGCUGCAGAAAGUUUCUUGAUCCCCACAUCGUGGUAAAACUAGAAUCACAAUCCCAGGGCUUACAGUGACUUAAAUCAGUCUGCAGUGCAUCGUGCAGCAAUUUGUAAUGGAAGGGGAUACUUGUAAAAGCAGAUUGGCAAGAGGAAAACAAGCCAAGUUAUAAUAGUCUCCCUCUCCCCUGUUAUGUGUGAAUUAGUCAAUCAACAAGCCACCUUUUUGCUGUGAGUUCUGGUUUCCUUUAAUUUUCUGUUUCUAAGCAGUGUCCACGUGGUCUCUGUUUAGUUUCUGGGAUGCAGCUGUCGCUCUUCCCCACAAGACUUGAUACAAUUUUUUGUGGAACUGAAUAAGAGAGAAUGAUGCAUGAGUCAGGCAGGAGAGGAAGGAGAGGAAGGGUGGAUGAAGGCAUUCCAGGUAGGUAGUAUGUGAAGGGAUGACUGUGGAACAGAUGGUUUGAAGCCACCAGCAGAGCCAGUUGGAGGUAUGAGAGGAGGCAGUGGGGCUCAUUCGUGUGAAAGUGGUGCUGUAGAUGUAGCAAGGGGUGGAGUUUGUGGCAUAGAGAGGCAUUUUGAAAGGAGGCUGUGUAGUGGUGGUUGGUCUAUUGAGCUAGGGGUGAUUUGAAGGUGUCAGGGGUCCUCUAUGACCCACUACUGAUUCUCGGCAUCAGCUGCUGCUGCUUAGUCAAACUCACAUUGACUUCAGUGAGAGUUUCCCUGAGAAAGGGCUGAUUAAGGAUUUUCUCCUGUGCACAAAAAUGCGUCUCUCGCUCAUUGCCACAGUAACCUUGAUAGAUGAAUCUGUCCAUUUAUCUUCAUAAAUACCUAUUUAAGUAUAGUUUGGCCACUACCCUGAAGACUUUAUCAACUUCCAUUGGCAUGACUUUCCUCACAAUUAUUUUAGGCCCUGAGGGAUAGGAAUUCAAAUUUAUUUAAUAUAAUUUAUAACAAAAGCAUAAUAUACAAAUCAAAGAACUUUGUCUCUUUCAAUUUAUGUACAAUUUAGAAAUCCAAAUCCCCACAAAAAUAAAACAAAACACAGAGAGAUUCAGAAAGAUAUAGGGAACAAAGUUCCAGGAAAAUUAAAUCCCUAAUAAUUUAAUUGAUUUAAUUGUUUUUCUUUUUUACUUCUCAAAGUUAGCAGGAACCUUCUAGGCAUGCCUGUUCUUGGGAACAUUGACAUUAAUAUAGAAGGAAAUCCAGGAUUUAGUGAUGAGAAACGCUGCUUUGAAAUUCCACAACUGCACAGCAGUUCCCUCCCAACAGGAAAUCACAGGAGCAGAGUGAAAGUGGAUGGGCUGGAUCGAAGGUGCUGCACCAACACCCAGUGAGGGAGGGAGCUAAAGGUCAGGCUCACUGCUGCAACUGACUCUCAGCGCUCCCCAGAACGUAUUCUACAGUCUUCUCUCAGGACGUUUACCCUGAACUCCCACUGUCCAGCUUCACCUCUACUUGUGUGAAUUUGAUUGGAGAACAGCUAAUAUCACAGAGAGAUGAAUUGUCACUCCAAUCAAAUGUUGCUGUGCCACUGACUAGCUGAUGAAGAAUAAAACUCCCAACAGAGGGAAAAGACUUUAAAAAUACAACAAAUAAUACAAGAAAAAGUCAAAAGGAAAAAUCAAAUGAAAAUCACAACUAACAAAUGGGAACAAGUUACCUAUGCAAGAAUGUGGAUAUAGGGGAAAAUCCACAAACAAAAGUGGGGGAAAAAACCAAAAUAAUAGAAAAUGUUGACCCAAUAAAAAAAGAAAUACUGAUUUAGGAAGCAUAAAAUCAACCUAUGGAAUUCACCAUCAGAGGGAAUCAAUAAGCAGCAUAUUGUGGCUGAAUUUAAAUCUAUGUUGAAUGGCUUUAAAGCCACAGAUAAUAUUUAUAGCAACACAGGCUGAGUUAAUAAUAAGAUUAAUCAAAGCUUCUACAUCAGGACAUAAAUAGAUCACUUAUGAGGAUCAAAUUUUCCCCCACCCCCCUAUAUCUCUUAUCAACUGCAUAGUGAAACUGAAAAAAAAUGUAUUUUGAUUUUCUCUUUCCUGUUUGUUAAUUAUCAGGUAUUGUUGACAGCCAGAAGCAGGACAUCUGACCUGAUAGACAUUGUGCCACAGAAAACAGAGUGUCCUAGAAAUUGAUAUGGAUUGAAACUUAUUCCUCACUGGAGCAAUGUUUCUGUAAGACCACUGAAAUUAAUGUCAGUUUUGUGCUUGGAAAAAAGCACAGUCAUUUGUGACCACCUAAAUUCUAUGACAUAUGCAACUUUUUUGAAUACUUUAAUUUCUUCAUUCUCCACAUACGUGACAUUGUAUUUGUCUGAACUGUAUACAGGAUACUGUCUUUAGCCUCUUUUCCUUCCACUCCUGUUGAUAUUGGUUUUGUUUCCUCAAGUCUAAAAAUGUCAACUAGAGACGUUAAUAUUAUGUUGGUUUGCACUACUGAAAUGAGUGUUUUGAAAAUAAUAUUAAAGAGUUACUGUCACAGGAUACCAUGCUGCAGAGGAGCUCAGAAAUUUUGCAUAGUGUGGACUACCUCCCCAUUCACUGGUGAUCACACAGACCAUUUCCUCCCAGACUGGUGUUUAAGUUACACCUUUGUGACAACUGCAGCAAUUGCUUACGUGGGAAAGAAACAUUAAGAAGAAUUCAAAAUAUUUUAAACUUCUUUUAAAGAAACAUAGCACAUGCAGAGAAGGAGAUGCCUAUGUGUCAGCCCACUUGCUGCCGACCACUACAGAGGGCUACUGCUGAUCCACAGACGAACUUACUGUAUUGCAAUUAAACAAUUUCACAUAGAGAGUGGGAGGUUGCCAUGUUUUAAAGAUCAAAAGCUAGUGUUGCUUAAUAUACAACUUGUUUAUGGUCAUCACAGUAAUGAUAGUGUACAAAUAGCUAGCUCUUGCAAAAUGCUUUUUAUCUGUAGAUCUCAAAGCUCUCUCUGGACUAGUACUGUUUUUACCUGGGCACAGCAAGGUUUUGGAUAGGGUAGUAAACAUGCCUGAGCCUUAUCUGCACCAGUUCUCUCACUGUCAGGAGCUGAAAAAUAGGAGCUACUGUAGACCCUGACACAGUCAGCAUUUUAUUCUUCACUCAGCUGUUAGUUGCAUGCAUGGAUCUAAACCUAAUGUUGUCAAACAGAGUUUGACCUGUUAAAUGGUAUUGCAAGUAUCCACGGUUCCAAUAUCCAGCUGCUAUGGGUUUCCAAGGCUGCUGGCUGUAUUUCCAACCUGUAUUUUUCUUAAGUUGGCAGCAGAAGAGUGGGUGCAGAAAAGGAUGCUCUGCACAGUGAUGUGUAACUGUACAUUGACUGGAAUUCAAAAGUGCGCUAGUGAGUUGUACAAAGGCAUCAUCAAAAAGCUGAAGUCAAACACAUGCUUGAAAACCAGCAAAUCUGAAGUGGAGCAUGUUUGUUCCAUGCAAAAAUCUUAGAAUAAAAUUAUUGCUUUUAUUUUUAUGAAGCAAACUCUUGUAGGCUGCUCAACCAUUUCUGCUAGUCUUAUGGCUACUCUAGGCUGUGCUAUUAUGAGAAAUCUUGGCAAUGUUAGUGGAAAUAGGACAUGAAGUCUCAGGACAUGCCAGUGAUGUAUUGAUUAGUAAAGGUAAGAUGCUUGAUGCAAACUUUUUGCCUUUUUGCAAGGUGACUGCAGAAUUCAAACAGCAGCAUAAGAAAGCGUUUACUGUAUGGUGUAGAUCUGUCAGUGGUGAAUGAUGGAUAGAUCGGCUGAAAAGGACAAAAAAUUAUGGGGGAGAUUUUCAAAGACAAAUAAAGUUUGGUACCCUGUGUGAUUUUGAAAGUUUCCCUGUUUUUAAUAUAGAAGAACC